This 24-nucleotide non-coding RNA is filed under the name Arabidopsis thaliana (thale cress). Lineage: Eukaryota; Viridiplantae; Streptophyta; Magnoliopsida; Brassicales; Brassicaceae. The record is from RNAcentral.
AAUAGGUGAAUGUACCAUAUGACC